AGAGAGGUGUCCGAGUGGUCGAAGGAGCACGCCUGGAAAGUGUGUAACCGCCAAAAGCGUUUCGAGGGUUCGAAUCCCUUCCUCUCUGC
RNAcentral lists this transfer RNA (89 nucleotides) under Bacteroidota bacterium. RNAcentral's name for it is "tRNA-Ser". It matches the Rfam family "tRNA". From Rfam's summary of the family: Transfer RNA (tRNA) molecules are approximately 80 nucleotides in length. Their secondary structure includes four short double-helical elements and three loops (D, anti-codon, and T loops). The record is from RNAcentral. Lineage: Bacteria; Pseudomonadati; Bacteroidota.